This 781-nucleotide long non-coding RNA is filed under the name Lathyrus oleraceus (garden pea). RNAcentral's name for it is "Pisum sativum (pea) long non-coding RNA (PSAT_LNC040416)". The record is from RNAcentral. Lineage: Eukaryota; Viridiplantae; Streptophyta; Magnoliopsida; Fabales; Fabaceae.
ACAACAACAUUUUCAUCAUUUCCACAAAUCAAUCAAUUUUCACGGGUUUAAUAGCACUAUUUUCAUCAUUUACACAAUUAAAUAUAUUUCAUGGGUUCAACAACAACAUUUUCAUCAUUCACACAAUUCAAUCAAAUUUCAUGGGUUUAACAACAACAUUUUUAUCAUUCACAUAAUUAAAUCAAAUUCUAUCGGUUUAAAAAUAACAUUUUCAUCAUUUACAGAAUUCAAUCAAAUUUCACGGGUUUAACGACAACAUUUUCAUCAUUCAUACAAUUCAAUCAAAUUUUAUGAGUUUAACAACAACAUUUUCAUCAUUCACACAAUUCAAUCAAAUUUCAUGGGUUUAACAACAACAACAUUUUCAUCAUUCACACAAUUCAAUCAAAUUUCAUGGGUUUAACAUCAACAUUUUCAUCAUUCACACAAUUCAAUCAAAUUUCAUGGGUUUAACAACAACAUUUUCAUCAUUCACACAAUUCAAUCAAAUUUCAUGGGUUUAACAACAACAUUUUCAUCAUUCACACAAUUCAAUCAAAUUUCAUGGGUUUAACAACAACAUUUUCAUCAUUCACACAAAUCAAUCAAUUUUCAUGGGUUUAAUAGCACUAUUUUCAUCAUUUACACAAUUGAAUAAAUUUCAUGGGUUUAUCAAUAACAUUUUCAUCAUUCACACAAUUCAAUCUUAUUUCAUGGGUUUAACAAAAAAGUCUUCAUCAUUCACACAAUUCAAUUGAAUUUUAUUGGUUUAACAACAACAUUUUCAUCAUUCCCACAAUUC